CCUACGGGAGGCAGCAGUAGGGAAUCUUCCACAAUGGGCGAAAGCCUGAUGGAGCAACGCCGCGUGAGUGAUGAAGGCCUUCGGGUUGUAAAACUCUGUCAUUCGGGACGAACCGGAGUCUGAGGAAAUGCAGACUCUCUGACGGUACCGGAGGAGGAAGCCCCGGCUAACUACGUGCCAGCAGCCGCGGUAAUACGUAGGGGGCAAGCGUUGUCCGGAUUCACUGGGCGUAAAGCGCGCGCAGGCGGUGAUGUAAGUCUGAGGUGAAAACCCGAAGCUCAACUUCGGGACUGCCUUGGAUACUGCGUCACUUGAGGAUAGGAGAGGCAAGGGGAAUUCCACGUGUAGCGGUGAAAUGCGUAGAGAUGUGGAGGAACACCUGUGGCGAAGGCGCCUUGCUGGCCUAUUUCUGACGCUGAGGCGCGAAAGCGUGGGGAGCAAACAGGAUUAGAUACCCUGGUAGUCCACGCUGUAAACGAUGAGUGCUAGGUGUAGGUGGGCUCAUACCCAUCUGUGCCGAAGCUAACGCAUUAAGCNCNCCGCCGNGGAGUACGGUCGCGAGACGUAGAACGUACGAAGGAAGUUAGACGGCGUUGAGACGUUGCCGACGGACGACGACGAGGGAGGUUAGG
This 632-nucleotide ribosomal RNA is filed under the name uncultured bacterium. Its description in RNAcentral is "bacterial SSU rRNA". The stretch from base 1 to 544 matches the Rfam family "Bacterial small subunit ribosomal RNA", at positions 338 to 873 of the family's 1533-position model. The record is from RNAcentral.